RNAcentral lists this ribosomal RNA (279 nucleotides) under uncultured bacterium. RNAcentral's name for it is "partial 16S ribosomal RNA". It matches the Rfam family "Bacterial small subunit ribosomal RNA", at positions 506 to 784 of the family's 1533-position model. The record is from RNAcentral.
UGCCAGCCGCCGCGGUAAUACGGAGGGUGCACGCGUUAAUCGGAAUUACUGGGCGUAAAGCGCGCGUAGGUGGCCAAGUCAGUCAGAUGUGAAAGCCCUGGGCUCAACCUGGGAACUGCAUCUGAUACUGCUUGGCUAGAGUAUGGUAGAGGGGUGUGGAAUUUCCUGUGUAGCGGUGAAAUGCGUAGAUAUCUAUUGGAACGCCAAAGGCGAAGGCAAGCUGCUGGGCCGAAUCUGACGCUGAGACACGAAAGCGUGGGUCUCGAACGGGAUUAGAUA